RNAcentral lists this long non-coding RNA (6025 nucleotides) under Canis lupus familiaris (dog). RNAcentral describes it as "lncRNA (ENSCAFG00000051127.1)". Lineage: Eukaryota; Metazoa; Chordata; Mammalia; Carnivora; Canidae. The record is from RNAcentral.
CAGGCUCCACGCAGGGAGCCUGAUGCGGGACUAGAUCCCGGGACUCCAGGACCACGCCCUGGGCCGAAGGCAGGCGCUAAACCACUGAGCCACCCAGGGAUCCCCAUAUUUGAUAUUUUUAUUCAAUCCAUAACUAUGAAUAAAUUUAUUUACCCAUAAAUAACAAAUACCAUCCAAAGACAAGAAUCCUUCUUUACCACAAUACCCUUAUCACAACUAAAAUCUUGUUUUUAAGAUUUUAUUUAUUUAUUUAUUUAUUUAUUUAUUUAUUUAUUUAUUUGAGAGAGAGAGAGGUAGUGAGAGACAGCACCAGCAAGGGAGAAAAGGAGAAGCAGGCUCUCCACUGAGCAGGGAGCCCCAUGCAGGGCUCCAUCUCAGGACCCUGGGAUCAUGACCUGAGCUGAGAGUGAAUGCUUAACCUACUGAGUCACCCAGAUGCCCCACAACUAAAAACUUUAACAGUAACUCCUAAUAUUAGCAAGUGUCCAGUCACUUAGUUGAGUCCCCAGUUAUCUCAUAAGGGCCAGAAUUGUCUCUCUCGCUUUUUUUUUUAAUCUUUUAAAUAAACUAUGAUCCAAAUAAGGUCUGAACACUCUGGCUGGCUAUUAUGUCUUUUAUUAUUUAUUUGUUUAUUAUUUGAGAGAGAGAGAGAGGGAGAGAAUGAGCAUGGGGAUGGCAGUGGGAGAGGGAAAGAGAGAAUAUUAAGCAGACUCUCUGCUAUGCAUGGAGGAGAUGUGAGUCUCAGUCUUAUGACCUGAGACAUCAUAAUCUGAGCCAAAAUCAAGAGUUGGCUGCUUAACCAACUGAGCCACCUACGUGCCCCAGUUAAUAUGUCUUUUAAAAUCUUUUAGGGAGUUCCUGGCUGGCUCAGUUGGAGGUGUGCAACUCUUGAUCUUGGGGUCAUGAGUUCAAGCCCCAUGUUGGGUGCAGAGAUUACUAAAAAAAAGUAAUAAUAAACUCUAAAAAAGAAAAUCUUUGAAACUACAGAUUUCCCUCCUUUCCCUUUGUCCCUUUGAAAUUUUUUGGUGAAGAAAAUGGAGUGUUUGUUCCUUAGAAUUUCUUGCAGUCUGUUUUGCUGAUUACCUCGCUGUGGUGUGGUUUGACAUGUUUCCCUGUCCCCUGCAUUUUCUGUGAAUUGGUAGUUAUAUUUUGAGGCUUGAUCACAUUCAAGUUCAAUAUUUUGGGCCAGACUAAUUCAUAGGUGGUCAUGGUCUUUUCCAUAAGAAGCACAUAUAGUCUUUUUUGUUUCUUUUUUGUUUGCACCACUAAUGCCCAAUGCCUAUGUCCGUUAGUUCAUUCAUGGUUCGGUUAUUUGUUGUUGAUAUUGUUGUCUUAUUGUGAUAAAAUAUAUGUAACAUGAAGCUUACCACUUAAACCAUUUUCAAGUAUACAGUUCAGGAACAAUAAGUACGUUUACACCGCUACGCAGUGUAUCUUGAUGGGCGCGGGGGGGGGGCGGGGGGACCGGGGCUCCAAGAUGGCGGAUCAUCCGGCCAACCCUCUCCAAGAUGGCGACUUUCCCGCCACUUUCACUGCGGCCUCCAGGUCACCACCAGGAAACUGAAGUUUUCCACCCAGGAACUUCCCAGUUGGGAACUGUCCAUCACGGGCUUCUCCCACCCCAUGACCUCUCUACCUUACCUAAUACGGACACAAGCCUAUGGCCUGCCUCAACCCGAUAAAAGGACCCUGCCAACUCCCUCCCAGCGCGACUUCCACGACUCACACUCUCUCUCUCUUUCUCUUCUCCUCCGUGAGUCGUGGAACCUCGCCCGAGGGUGCUUGCAAUAAAGUUCAUCUCUCAGAUCCACUUGCCUUGUAGCCUCUUUUCUUACCACCGUCGGCAGGAGAAACUUUACAACCAUCAUCCAUCUGCAGAACCUUUAUCAUCUUUCUAAACUGAAACUCAGCGCCCAUGAAACAGUAACUCUCCAUUCCCUCCUCUCAUCAGCCCUUACCUAGCCACCACCGCUCUACUUCUUGUCUCUAUGAACUUGGCUGUUCCUAAUCCCUCAUUUAAAUGAAAUCAAAUAGUAUUUUUUCUUUUCUGGUUUCUUAUUUUACUUAACAUAAUGUCUUUAAAAUUCACUCGUAUUGGGGAUACCUGGGUGGCUCAGUGGUUUAGCACCUGCCUUCAGCUCAGGGUGUGAUCCUGGGGUCCCAGGAUUGAGUCCCACAUCAGGCUCCCUGAAUGGAGCCUACUCUCCCUUUGCCUGUGUCUCUGCCUCUCUCUCUCUCUCUCUCUUUCUCUCUCGGUCUCUCAUGAAGUAAAUAAAAUCUUAAAAAAAAAAAAUUCACCCGUGUUGUAGUAUGAGUCAGGAUCUCCUAACUUUUUUUUUUUUUUUUUUUAAGAUUUUAUUCAUUUAUUUAUGAGAGACACAGAGAGAGAGAGAGGGAGAGACACAGGCAGAGGGAGAAGCAGGCUCCAUGCAGGAAGCCCAAUGCGGUACUCAAUCCUGGGACCCCAGGAUCAAGCCCUGGGCGGAAGGCAGGUGCUAAACCACUGAGCCACCCAGGGAUGCACAAGAUCUCCUAACUUUUUAAGGCUGAAUAACAUUCCAUUGUAUGUAAAUAUCACAUUUUGUUUAUCCAUUCACCCAUCAGUGGAUACUUGAUGCAAACAUGGUAAUACUUCCUACUGAAUUUAAUCUAAAAUUACAAGGCAAAGCAGUGAUAAUAUAGGAAACAUAUACUGCAGCAAAGUCAUCAGGUAAUGAAUCUCAGGUAAUGUCAAGGGGCUGUAUACACUUCCUGUGCUAUCAAAAGUUAAAACAAAAAGCAAGAUCAAAAAAAAAAAAGCAAGAUCCCCAUUCCCUCAUGGAUUUGAAGCAUAUAUAUUUUCUGAGCUUGAACUAAAGUUCCAGCAGUGUUUUUCAAAUCUCAAUGCAAGUGGAAAGAAAAUUUCUAUAUUUCACUUAAUUGUGCAGUUGAGGAGUUUCCUCCUUCAUUUUGAUGUGAUUAAUCCACAAUGUAAUAACAUGGUAAAAGGCAAAUAUCAAGGAAAGAAUAUAAAAGAAUUCUAUAAAUGUCUCUCAGGUGAUGAAUAUGCUCAAUUAAAAUUACACACUAUUGGAUUAAUAUCAGCAUUUGGCAGUACUAUCUGUGUGAAAGACAUAUUCAAAGACGAAAUAUGUAAAAUCUCAUUACAGAUCGACACUAACAAAUGAACAUUUGCAAUUGAUUUUGAUGACAGGGAAUACUAACUUUGUACCUCAAUUAAGCAGCAAACCUCUAUUACCAAAAAAUUGUACUCAAUCAUUAUACUUUGAGUUCUGUCAUUAAUAAAUUGUGGAAAUGUUUUCUUUAAUUUUUAUGUACUUAUGUUAUAUCCUUGAUUUUACUUUUUGGCAUGCAAAGCCUAAUUACUAUUUGAUCCUUUAUAGCAUAAGUUUGCCAACCCCUGGUGUAGAAGAGCACUGGACAAGUACAGCCAGCUGCUUCUAGCCAUUCAGAUAAAACCCUUGAUCCCUCCCAGGUUCUUCUACUUCUGUCUUCCACUCAGUAAAUGGCCUCUAAUUCAAUUACUCAAGCCAAAAUUCUGGUGGUCUUCCUUGAUUUUUAUUUUCCCACAAUCUCUAUAUUAAUCUGUUAGAACGUCCUGUGUUAGCCCUACCUCCAAUUAUAAUAGCUUUAAUCCGUUUACUUCUCUCCAUAUCUGCUGCUUUUAUCCACCUCUUGUCUGUACUACUGAAAUAGUCUGAUUUGUCUCUGUUUCCACUCUUGCCUCCAAAUGAUCCAAUAUUCCCUCUGUAGCUAGAGGAAUCUCUUUAAAAUGUUAAAAGAUCAUUCCUCUCUACUUUAAGCUCUUUAUUGCCUUCCCAUUGCAUUUCAGAUGAAACCCAAAUGCCUUAACAUGAUCUGAAAGGCUCUAUAUAACUCAGCCCCAGCCUAUCUCUUCUAUCACAUCUGCAUCGGACAGAACAUUUGUGUUCCCCCAAAAUUCAUAGGUUGAAAUCAUAACCCCCCACUGUGAUAGUAUUCUCCCCCAAAUUCUCCCACCUCCUUUGGGGAGGUGAUUAGGUCAUGAAGGUAGAGUCCCAUAAAUGGGAUUAGUGCCCUUAUAAAAGAGACCUCAGGGAAAUUCCUUUGUCUGCCAUGUGAGAACAUGGUAAGAAGAUACCCAUCUAUGAACCUGGAAGCAAGUCCUCAUGAAGCUCAAUCUGUUGGUGCUUGAUCUUGGACUUCCCAGCCUCUAGAACUGUGAGAAAUGUUUAUAAGCCACCUAGUCUAUGGUGUUGUUAUAGCAUCCCCAAUAGACUAAGACAACAUCUCAUUCCUCUCCAAGUCCAUUGGUUUGUCACACACCUGCCUCAUUUUCUUUCUUGGCCUUUGCAUUUGCUACAUACUGUAUUGGAACCUUCUCCCCUGUCCCACUUUGUAAGUCUGGGUCUUUCUUCUCCUUUGGAUACUAAAUCAAUGUGUACAGCAUGCCUUCCUUUUCUGUUAUCCUCCACCUUAUUACUUGAUUUAUUUUCCUUACAGCACUGGAAUGUAAUCUUAUGAGGGUAAGAACUGUCCACCAUGCCUAAAACAGCACCCACAUAUAACAGUGGAUAGUUGACAAAUACUUACUGAGUAAAGGAAAUGCCAAGAAAAUUCUAUGACAGCAAAAUAAGAGCUAUUAGAGUACACAGCAGAGGUCCCACUUUGGCCUAAUGGUCAGAUUUCUAAAGGAAGUGAUGCUUCAGUUGAUAUCUGAAGAGAGUAAGAAUUAGCCCACUAAAGAUUAUUUCCAGGGUAGGUAACUAUUCUAGGCAGAGUGAUAAGCAUGAGGAGCAAAAAGAAAAAAAAAAAAGCAGAGGCCUAAGGAAAACAUGAGUGGCAAGAGUGCAACAAUUGGGAGCAGAUCCUUGGACUUCAUCAAAGAGCAGGAGGGAGCAAAUGAAAGGUUUAAGCUGGAAAGCUAGUGAAACAGUACUUUAUGCUUUAGAAAGAUCACUCUGGCCAUAGUGUGUGGGAAUGAGACACAAAGGGAAGCAAGACAAAAAAAAAAACAAAAACAGUUAGGAGGGUGCAGUAGCAGUAUUGGGAAUGAAAGAACGUAUCAAUUUGAAAUAUUUAGGAGAUAGCAUUGAUAGGGCCAGUAUGGGAUGUGAGACAGGGGCCCAGGAAUACUCCCAGCCUUUAGUCUUGGGCAUUUGGGUGGAUAGUGGAACUUUUACUAAACCUCGAAACAACAGAGCAGCUGGCUAGAGGUGGGAUACAGUAUUUUAGACAAAUUGAGCUUGAGAGGCCCAUGAAGUACAGACAUACCUGGUUUGUUUAUUUAUUUAUUUAUUUAUUUAUUUAUUUAUUUAUUUAGACAUACCUGGUUUAAACAUCUGUCUCUUCAAGUGAUAAUCCUGCUCUUCUCAUCAGUGCCAGGUACACAGCAGGCUUCAUUGGGUUUUUUUUUGUUUUGUUUUGUUUUGUUUAAAGUAGGCUUGAACUCACAACUGAGAUGGAGACUUGAGGUGAAAUCAAGAGUCAGAAGCUGAACCAGCUGAACCACCCAGGCGCCCCAGCUGGCCCUAUUGUUGAAGGAAGGAAAGGAGGAAAUCUAAGUGAAUCUGGGGGUCGGGAAAAAUGGAGAUAUAAAAUUAAGGGUCAUCAGUAUUUAAAUGGUUUAACUCAGAAGAGUGGAUAAAAAUCACCCAGGAAUAUAUAAAGUUAGAAGAGGGUGCAAAGACCCCUGAAGAACUCUAGUAUUUAUGAGAAAGGUAAUAAUGACAUUGAGUAUGCCUCAUUUCCCCCUUAGCUGAAAAUAUUUCCCCUUAUAUAUUUGACCCCUCCCUGAGAUCACUGAUCCCAGUAAAGGUUCCCCAUUAGUGGGGAACUAAUGGUCUCCCUCAUAAUAACAGCUAACAUUUAUCAAGUUUACUGAGGGCAAGGUACUGUCCUCAGCAUUUUACAUGUAUUAAUUCUUACAAACCUGUGAGCAUGAGUAAGGACAAAUGAGGAACUCCAGAGUGAAAAUGAUGAACAGAUGGGGUAAUUAAACGAGCAAGGGUUUUGGGAAGGGGAUUAGCCUUGGUCAGUAGGAGGG